This 253-nucleotide ribosomal RNA is filed under the name uncultured bacterium. RNAcentral describes it as "partial 16S ribosomal RNA". It matches the Rfam family "Bacterial small subunit ribosomal RNA", at positions 524 to 776 of the family's 1533-position model. The record is from RNAcentral.
UACGUAGGGGGCAAGCGUUGUCCGGAAUUAUUGGGCGUAAAGAGCUCGUAGGCGGUCUGUUGCGUCCGCUGUGAAAACUCGGGGCUUAACCCCGAGCCUGCAGUGGAUACGGGCGGACUAGAGGUAGGUAGGGGAGAAUGGAAUUCCCGGUGUAGCGGUGAAAUGCGCAGAUAUCGGGAGGAACACCGGUGGCGAAGGCGGUUCUCUGGGCCUUACCUGACGCUGAGGAGCGAAAGCGUGGGGAGCGAACAGG